CAACAAUCGCAUUCAUUAGAAACCUUAUUUUUAUUUUUUUUUAAUUUUUUAAUCAGUACUCGAUAUAACAUCGUGUUUCUAGUUCACUGAAGCAUGAGAUAUUGGAGUAACGAACAAUCGGUUUCAAUUUUAUAAUAUCUACAAGUUCGGCUUAUCAAAAUGCAACAUCUUUAAAAAGUAGUUUUUGUGUUAUUCACCUUAAGUCGAAAACUGGAUUUUAUCCAACCGGCAGAUAAAAAAAAACAAGAAAAAAAAGAAAAAAUUUCGAUAUCUUUAUUGUGUUAGGAGAAUUUUUCCUUCUCGGUUACACGUUAGUUAUUUAAUUGGAGGAAAGGGAGUUUAUAUUUUAACCGGAUAUCGUAAAAAACGGAGGGUGAAACCAGCGUUAAAAAUGCCAUUUCCGCUCGGUUAAAAAUCGGAAAAAUCAUCCAAUCAAGAAAUUCCUUUCCCCCCCUUACUAAAUUACUAUCCAGAUGUGUAUGUAGUGUGUUCUUCUUCGCCCUACUCAAUGGGACAUCGACCCAAGGAUCAUCUUCAGUUCAAGGUUUCUAGCCACAUGUCAAAACGAAGUAGAUGUCAUGACAAAAUGGUAACCUGCACCGCCUCGGGGUGUGGUGUAUUGGCAAUUCUAUCGUAUUAUAAGUCGUUAUCCGGAUACAAAUUAUCCAAAACGCUUUUUAACAUUUACGCUUGAACUACAUCUUGCUUCUGUUGGGGACCUCUCUGCCACCACUUCCACGUUAUUAUAUAAUAUUUGCCACUUAAUAAUAAUUUUCUACCCCCUCUUUCGUAACUUUAGAUAAAUUAAUUUUAUGCUCUAUAAAAAUCGUUUUUUCGUUACGUUAUGCUAAUAAAUAAACGGAUAAUUAAAAGGAUAAUAUAGUGUUUCGAAACGAAUUUUCUUUUUUUUUUUUUUUUUUUUAUCGCUGGCAAACUGCUUUCCACGUAUAUUUUCCUCAAGAAAACUGUUCGUUUAUGCCGGGAUAAAGAUUUAUCCGUAUUAACGCAAACUUGGCAAAGAAUGUUAAGGCACGGUUGGCCAACUUUUUACUCGGAAGCAUCACAAAAGAAUUACGAUAAAAUCAAAGUGCAUCACGCGAUAGACAAAAUAAGAAAAUCAUUUAAGGCUCCCCCACAAUUAACGAUUGCAGAAUGGCGUAUUAGCUGUUAUAAUGCCCUUAAAUGCAAAGUUUAGACCAGAAAACCAACUUUUGUAUACAUAAAGAAAAAUUGGUGUUCAAGAAAUGGUUUGGGUCACGUUUUGAGCGCCUUAAUAAUGCAGAGAUAGGUUAUGAAAAUAUUCUGAUACCUCUAGCACGUUACCUUUUUGAAAACACAUUUUGUGGGGAAACAAACGCGAUGCCCUCCGACAAAAUCUAUUUCCUCGUUUAAAAAAAGUAUGAUAACAUACGAUUAAACGAAAUG
This 1425-nucleotide long non-coding RNA is filed under the name Androctonus crassicauda. The record is from RNAcentral. Lineage: Eukaryota; Metazoa; Arthropoda; Arachnida; Scorpiones; Buthidae.